GACGAACGCUGGCGGCGUGCUUAACACAUGCAAGUCGAACGGAAAGGCCCUGCUUGCAGGGUGCUCGAGUGGCGAACGGGUGAGUAACACGUGGGUGAUCUGCCCCUUACUUUGGGAUAAGCCUGGGAAACUGGGUCUAAUACUGGAUAGGACCAUGCUCUAGGUGGUGUGGUGUAGAGAUUAUUUUCGGUAAGGGAUGAGCUCGCGGCCUAUCAGCUUGUUGGUGGGGUAAUGGCCUACCAAGGCGUCGACGGGUAGCCGGCCUGAGAGGGUGGACGGCCAAAUUGGGAAUGGGAUGAGGGCCAGACUCCUAAGGGGGGGAGGAGUGGGGAAAAUUGGACAAUGGGGGCAAGCCUGAUGGAGCGACGCCGCGUGGGGGAUGAAGGCCUUCGGGGUGUAAACUCCUUUCAGCCAUGACGAAGCCCUUGUGGUGACGGUAGUGGUAGAAGAAGCACCGGCUAACUACGU
Molecule: ribosomal RNA, 468 nt
Filed under: uncultured bacterium
Lineage: Bacteria
Description: partial 16S ribosomal RNA
Rfam family: Bacterial small subunit ribosomal RNA
Source: RNAcentral